Chrysochloris asiatica (Cape golden mole) is the source of this 371-nucleotide non-coding RNA. The record is from the annotation of a RefSeq genome assembly. NCBI's taxonomy places the organism in Eukaryota, Metazoa, Chordata, Mammalia, Afrosoricida, Chrysochloridae.
AUGGUCAUGCAGAUUACCUGGUCCCUUGUAUGCCUGCUGGUAGCCCUUUUGGAGGUUCUGUCUGGGCCAACACUAACAGAGUCAGGCCCAGGGCUGAUGAUGCCCUCACAGACCCUGUCUCUCCCUGCUCUGUCUCUGGAUUCUCCAUCACAACCAGUGGUUACUGUUGGCACUGGAUAUGUCAGAUACCUGGAAAAGGGUUUCAAUGGAUGUCAGAAAUAUACACAGAUGGAAGUACAUACUAUGACCCAUCUCUGAAAAAUAGACUUUCCAUUUCCAUGGACACAUCCACAAACAAGUUCUUCCAGCAGCUGAGAUCUAUGACCCCUGAGGACACUGCUGUAUAUUACUGUGCCAGAGAUACACUGUGA